RNAcentral lists this ribosomal RNA (433 nucleotides) under uncultured bacterium. Its description in RNAcentral is "bacterial SSU rRNA". It matches the Rfam family "Bacterial small subunit ribosomal RNA", at positions 29 to 507 of the family's 1533-position model. The record is from RNAcentral.
AACGAACGCUGGCGGCAGGCCUAACACAUGCAAGUCGAACGAGACCUUCGGGUCUAGUGGCGCACGGGUGCGUAACGCGUGGGAAUCUGCCCUUCGGUUCGGAAUAACUCAGGGAAACUUGAGCUAAUACCGGAUAAUGACGUAAGUCCAAAGAUUUAUCGCCGAAGGAUGAGCCCGCGUAGGAUUAGCUUGUUGGUGGGGUAAUGGCCCACCAAGGCGACGAUCCUUAGCUGGUCUGAGAGGAUGAUCAGCCACACUGGGACUGAGACACGGCCCAGACUCCUACGGGAGGCAGCAGUGGGGAAUAUUGGACAACGGGCGAAAGCCUGAUCCAGCAAUGCCGCGUGAGUGAUGAAGGCCUUAGGGUUGUAAAGCUCUUUUACCCGGGAUGAUAAUGACAGUACCGGGAGAAUAAGCUCCGGCUAACUCCGUG